This 380-nucleotide ribosomal RNA is filed under the name Parastagmatoptera sp. MN151. RNAcentral's name for it is "partial 12S ribosomal RNA". Lineage: Eukaryota; Metazoa; Arthropoda; Insecta; Mantodea; Mantidae. The record is from RNAcentral.
AUUAGAUACCCUAUUAUUUUUAUUGUAAAAAAAAAUUAAGUCAGAGUAUUAUUUGUUAUAGUCUUGAAACUUAAAGAAUUUGGCGGUAUUAUAGUCUAUUUAGAGGAAUCUGUUAUGUAAUCGAUAAUCCACGUAGAACCUUACUUAUAUUAAUUUUUGUAUACCACUGUUUGAGAAUAUACUUUUAGGUAAAUUUUCAAAAUAUAAAAAUAAAUAAUAUUUCAAGUCAAGGUGCAGUCAUAUAUAAGUUGAAUAAUGGAUUACAAUAAAUUUUAUUUAUUAUGAAUUGUUAUUGUAAAGUAAUUUGAAAGUGGAUUUAAUUGUAAUUUUAUAAAGAUUGUUAAAAUGAUUUUAGCUCUAUAAUAUGUACACAUCGCCCG